UACGUAGGGUGCGAGCGUUAAUCGGAAUUACUGGGCGUAAAGCGUGCGCAGGCGGCUUUAUAAGCCAGAUGUGAAAUCCCCGGGCUUAACCUGGGAACUGCAUUUGGAACUGUAAGGCUAGAGUGUAGCAGAGGGGGGUAGAAUUCCACGUGUAGCAGUGAAAUGCGUAGAGAUGUGGAGGAAUACCGAUGGCGAAGGCAGCCCCCUGGGCUAACACUGACGCUCAUGCACGAAAGCGUGGGGAGCAAACAGG
RNAcentral lists this ribosomal RNA (253 nucleotides) under uncultured bacterium. Its description in RNAcentral is "partial 16S ribosomal RNA". It matches the Rfam family "Bacterial small subunit ribosomal RNA", at positions 524 to 776 of the family's 1533-position model. The record is from RNAcentral.